RNAcentral lists this small RNA (625 nucleotides) under Phanerochaete sordida. Its description in RNAcentral is "eukaryotic LSU rRNA". The stretch from base 218 to 371 matches the Rfam family "5.8S ribosomal RNA". The record is from RNAcentral. Lineage: Eukaryota; Fungi; Basidiomycota; Agaricomycetes; Polyporales; Phanerochaetaceae.
GCGGAAGGAUCAUUAACGAGUUAAUUGAACAGGUUGUAGCUGGCCCCCAGGGGCAUGUGCACGCCUGGCUCAUCCACUCUUCAACCUCUGUGCACUUCUUGUAGGUCGGCGGAAGGACGAGUCUGGUUUCAUUACUGUGACUUGCUUGGAAGCCUUCCUAUGUCUUUACAAACGCUUCAGUUUAAGAAUGUAAUCUGCGUACAACGCAUCUAUAUACAACUUUCAGCAACGGAUCUCUUGGCUCUCGCAUCGAUGAAGAACGCAGCGAAAUGCGAUAAGUAAUGUGAAUUGCAGAAUUCAGUGAAUCAUCGAAUCUUUGAACGCACCUUGCGCUCCCUGGUAUUCCGGGGAGCAUGCCUGUUUGAGUGUCAUGGUACUCUCAACCUUCAUAACUUUGUUGUUAUCGAAGGCUUGGAUUUGGAGGUUGUGCUGGCUUCUUGUCAAGUCGGCUCCUCUUAAAUGGAUUAGCGUGAGUGUAACGGAUCGCUUCGGUGUGAUAAUUAUCUGCGCCGUGGUCGUGAAGUAACAUCAGCUUGUGCUUCUAACCGUCCUUCAGCUGGACAAAUUUACUCUGACAUCUGGCCUCAAAUCAGGUAGGACUACCCGCUGAACUUAAGCAUAUCAU